Molecule: non-coding RNA, 713 nt
Organism: Pogona vitticeps (central bearded dragon)
Lineage: Eukaryota; Metazoa; Chordata; Lepidosauria; Squamata; Agamidae
Source: RefSeq, a predicted model, not a curated record
UCUUAGCCAGCUAUUUCCUCCAAGCAGGAAAAGAUCCAAAAUCUGCCUGAAAUGAAAACCAAGCCCAAAAUAUGAUUGCUUAAAUUGUUUCCUUCUUAUGGGAUGCUGAGAAGCUGCAUUGGGAAAUACUCUAAUUUAAGGAGGAGUUUAUUAAAACUUGGCUAAAUUCAGUGUGAGAUGGAAAUCUGAUUAGCCAACUUUAGCUGGAAGACUGUAAGUCAUGUUGUGGUCGGCUGCAAACAGUGGCCAUGCUGGCUGAAGGAUCCUGGGAGAAAUAGCAUGAAGAAAAGUAACUACUCCACGCUCUAAGUUUGCAAAUCAGUCACAAAAGUUCUCUGCCUCAUUAAGUUGCAUCCCUCUCACCUUACAACCAGAGCAAAGUUCAUGGGCCAGCAAGGUGCAAGUCAAAGUAGCCGCCUCCUCUUCAUUCCCCUUUUCCAGCAUUCUUGCAGAAGGGCCAUUGACUUGGCCACAUGCAAUGAUCCAAGUACAGCACCUGACGCGGGAGUGAAGAACAUUGAAGCCAAAAGUGAAGAAUUGUAGCUGUCCAGACAAUUCAUGGACUUCAGCUCCCAUCUGCAGGAGCAGGCAUGGAAAGUGUUCCAGCAGAUAACAAUUGGGAUGUUCCCCCUUUUUUCACUACCACCAGUGGAUCUCCUUUAUCCACAACGUAUAAAGAAUUUUAUACGUUGCUGCCAACAGGACUGAUUUAU